ACCGCAUGGGAGGAUAACACAGUUAAUGGCUGUCCCAAAGUCAGUUUCCCUGCAUCCUUGAGCAAAACAGCAAUGGCGGCUUCCCCACGCAGACAGGGGGCCAUCCUAGAUUGGAAGAGCAC
Non-coding RNA from Peromyscus maniculatus bairdii (prairie deer mouse), 122 nucleotides. NCBI's taxonomy places the organism in Eukaryota, Metazoa, Chordata, Mammalia, Rodentia, Cricetidae. The record is from RefSeq and is a predicted model, not a curated record.